This 221-nucleotide long non-coding RNA is filed under the name Lathyrus oleraceus (garden pea). Its description in RNAcentral is "Pisum sativum (pea) long non-coding RNA (PSAT_LNC022829)". The record is from RNAcentral. Lineage: Eukaryota; Viridiplantae; Streptophyta; Magnoliopsida; Fabales; Fabaceae.
GAAAAAAAUCAGUAUCUUUACCCUUGUUUUCCCGCAUGUAAUUGGUUACACAGAUUCAGGUAACCGGUUACACAGACAAAAAACAACAAAAUACACAUGUUUUCACAUGUGUAAUAGGUUACACCUGGGACAGUGGACCAAAAUACUGCAUUUUUCAACAGUAAUGCAGUUUCCUUUGCAUUCCAAAUCAGUCCCAAUGCUUGCUUCAAUACACAGUGCAA